RNAcentral lists this unclassified non-coding RNA (233 nucleotides) under Hevea brasiliensis (rubber tree). The record is from RNAcentral. Lineage: Eukaryota; Viridiplantae; Streptophyta; Magnoliopsida; Malpighiales; Euphorbiaceae.
AGGCAAAAGAAGAUAACACUGAGGUUGAAUUUCAUUUCAUCAUGUGAUGUAGAUAUGUUUUUGGCUUAUCAUGUUUCAGUUCAAUUUUUCUCUAUCUUUCUGUCAAGAAAAUAACAGCCCUGGUUCUCAAAUAGGAUUGGAGCCCAGAGGAUAAUCAUUGUGAUAUUGGUAGUUUUCUUAACAUGAAUUUCCAUUUUCCUUUUCUUAGUGCACUUCCCUUUUUUUUUUUUCAG